This 253-nucleotide ribosomal RNA is filed under the name uncultured bacterium. RNAcentral's name for it is "partial 16S ribosomal RNA". It matches the Rfam family "Bacterial small subunit ribosomal RNA", at positions 524 to 776 of the family's 1533-position model. The record is from RNAcentral.
UACAGAGGGUGCAAGCGUUAAUCGGAAUUACUGGGCGUAAAGAGUGCGUAGGUGGUUAGGUAAGUUAGAUGUGAAAUCCCUGGGCUCAACCUAGGAACUGCGUUUAAAACUGCUUAGCUAGAGUAUUGUAGAGGAUAGUGGAAUUUCCAGUGUAGCGGUGAAAUGCGUAGAUAUUGGAAGGAACACCAGUGGCGAAGGCGACUAUCUGGGCAAAUACUGACACUGAGGCACGAAAGCAUGGGGAGCAAACAGG